GAGAGAGAAUUGUGGUAGAGAUAAGAAAAGCUCCAUAACUCAAAUCUUUCUUCUCCUCCCCUUUUUUAUAGAUUAUAAUUCACUUUCUCAUUUUCCAAGGACCGAUCUGAUGAUUUAUUUUUUAUAAUGAAUAUUUAUUGGGUAUCUACUAUGUGCUUGGCAUGAAGUUACUAUUGGGGCUACAAUAAUGAGUUGGACAUACUGUCUUUCAGGAGGUUACCACUUUUGGGAAGGCAAAAUAAUCACAAGUGGAUUUCAAGAAACAUUCUGUAUAUGUCCUGACCUUGAAAUACUUUGUCAUCCUAAGAAGUUUGCGCUUUAGCUGAGGUCAAAGAAAUGACAAAUAAGAUCAUCCCAGCUGCAAUGUGAAGAAUGGAGUGAAGUAG
Molecule: non-coding RNA, 386 nt
Organism: Microcebus murinus (gray mouse lemur)
Lineage: Eukaryota; Metazoa; Chordata; Mammalia; Primates; Cheirogaleidae
Source: RefSeq, a predicted model, not a curated record